RNAcentral lists this ribosomal RNA (458 nucleotides) under uncultured bacterium. Its description in RNAcentral is "bacterial SSU rRNA". It matches the Rfam family "Bacterial small subunit ribosomal RNA", at positions 65 to 518 of the family's 1533-position model. The record is from RNAcentral.
CGGACGACACGGGUAGCAAGUACCUGGUGGCGACCGGCGCACGGGUGCGUAACGCGUAUGCAACCUGCCCCCAUCAGGGGAAUAGCCCGCCGAAAGGCGGAUUAAUGCCCCAUAGGCCCAGGGCGCCGCAUGGCGCUAUGGGUAAAGCUCCGGCGGAUGGGGAUGGGCAUGCGUGCCAUUAGCUAGUUGGGCGGUAACGGCGCACCAAGGCGACGAUGGCUAGGGGGUCUGAGAGGAUGGUCCCCCACACUGGUACUGAGACACGGACUAGACUCCUACGGGAGGCAGCAGUGAGGAAUAUUGGUCAAUGGGCGGAAGCCUGAACCAGCCAUUGCCGCGUGCAGGAUGACGGCCCUACGGGUUGUAAACUGCUUUUCCCCGGGAAGAAUAAGCCCCUCGUGAGGGGUGAUGCCGGUACCGGGGGAAUAAGGAUCGGCUAACUCCGUGCCAGCCGCAGC